This 497-nucleotide ribosomal RNA is filed under the name uncultured bacterium. RNAcentral describes it as "partial 16S ribosomal RNA". It matches the Rfam family "Bacterial small subunit ribosomal RNA", at positions 28 to 507 of the family's 1533-position model. The record is from RNAcentral.
GACGAACGCUGGCGGCGUGCCUAAUACAUGCAAGUAGAACGCUGAAGAGAGGAGCUUACUCUUCUUAGAUGAGUUGCGAACGGGUGAGUAACGCGUAGGUAACCUGCCUUGUAGCGGGGGAUAACUAUUGGAAACGAUAGCUAAUACCGCAUAACAAUGGAUGACACAUGUCAUUUAUUUGAAAGGGGCAAUUGCUCCACUACAAGAUGGAUCUGCGUUGUAUUAGCUAGUAGGUGAGGUAAUGGCUCACCUAGGCGACGAUACAUAGCCGACCUGAGAGGGUGGUCUGCCACAAGUGGACUGAGACACGGCCCAGACUCCUGCGGGAGACAGCAGUAGGGAAUCUUCUGCAAUGGGGGCAACACUGGCCGAGCAACGCCGCGUGAGUGAAGAAGGGUUUCGGAUCGUAAAGCUCUGUUGUUAGUCAAGAACGGGUGUGAGAGUGGAAAGUUCACACUGUGACGGUAGCUUACCAGAAAGAGACGGCUAACUACGUG